UACGGAGGGGGCUUGCGUUGUUCGGAAUUACUGGGCGUAAAGCGCGCGUAGGCGGCUUUGUAAGUUAGAGGUGAAAGCCUGGAGCUCAACUCCAGAACUGCCUUUAAGACUGCAUCGCUAGAAUCGUGGAGAGGUGAGUGGAAUUCCGAGUGUAGAGGUGAAAUUCGUAGAUAUUCGGAAGAACACCAGUGGCGAAGGCGACUCACUGGACACGUAUUGACGCUGAGGUGCGAAAGCGUGGGGAGCAAACAGG
RNAcentral lists this ribosomal RNA (253 nucleotides) under uncultured bacterium. Its description in RNAcentral is "partial 16S ribosomal RNA". It matches the Rfam family "Bacterial small subunit ribosomal RNA", at positions 524 to 776 of the family's 1533-position model. The record is from RNAcentral.